GACGAACGCUGGCGGCGUGCCUAAUACAUGCAAGUCGAGCGAAGUUUUUCUGGUGCUUGCACUAGAAAAACUUAGCGGCGAACGGGUGAGUAACACGUAAAGAACCUGCCUCAUAGACGGGGACAACUAUUGGAAACGAUAGCUAAUACCGGAUAACAGCAUAAAUCGCAUGAUAUAUGUUUAAAAGUUGGUUUCGGCUAACACUAUGAGAUGGCUUUGCGGCGCAUUAGCUAGUUGGUGGGGUAAAGGCCUACCAAGGCGACGAUGCAUAGCCGACCUGAGAGGGUGAUCGGCCACACUGGGACUGAGACACGGCCCAGACUCCUACGGGAGGCAGCAGUAGGGAAUCUUCCGCAAUGGGCGAAAGCCUGACGGAGCAACGCCGCGUGAGUGAAGAAGGAUUUCGGUUCGUAAAGCUCUGUUGUUAGGGAAGAAUGAUUGUAUAGUAACUAUAUACAGUAGAGACGGUACCUAACCAGAAAGCCACGGCUAACUACGUGCCAGCAGCCGCGGUAAUACGUAGGUGGCAAGCGUUGUCCGGAAUUAUUGGGCGUAAAGCGCGCGCAGGUGGUUUAAUAAGUCUGAUGUGAAAGCCCACGGCUCAACCGUGGAGGGUCAUUGGAAACUGUUAAACUUGAGUGCAGGAGAGAAAAGUGGAAUUCCUAGUGUAGCGGUGAAAUGCGUAGAGAUUAGGAGGAACACCAGUGGCGAAGGCGGCUUUUUGGCCUGUAACUGACAUUGAGGCGCGAAAGCGUGGGGAGCAAACAGG
RNAcentral lists this ribosomal RNA (769 nucleotides) under uncultured bacterium. Its description in RNAcentral is "bacterial SSU rRNA". It matches the Rfam family "Bacterial small subunit ribosomal RNA", at positions 28 to 776 of the family's 1533-position model. The record is from RNAcentral.